Molecule: long non-coding RNA, 479 nt
Organism: Sarcophilus harrisii (Tasmanian devil)
Lineage: Eukaryota; Metazoa; Chordata; Mammalia; Dasyuromorphia; Dasyuridae
Exons: 3
Source: RefSeq, a predicted model, not a curated record
AAAACUUAGCACCUCAAUAUCUGACCAUAAAAUUAAAUUAAUAUUUAACAUUACAGCAAGUGUACCUCUGCCUGAUCAGAGAAAUGAUACUCUUGAAUUGGAAAACCAGCAACGACUCUUGAAGACAUUAGAGACAAUCACCAACCGACUCAAAAGGACUCUCAAUAAGGAACCCAUGUAUGCUUUUCAACUUGCAUCAGAAAUGGUGAUAGCUGACAGCAAUUCAUUGGAAACAGAAAAGGCAUUUCUCUUUUGCAGACCAGGCUCGGUGCUAAGAGGACGAAUGUGUGUUAAUUGCCCUUUGGGGACCUAUUAUUCUCUGGAACAUAAUGUCUGUGAAAGCUGCUGGAUCGGAUCCUAUCAAGAUGAAGAGGGAAAAGUAGAGUGUAAACUUUGCCCUGCUGGUAGUUCCACUGAAUACCUCCAUUCAAGAAGCAUCUCUGAAUGUAAAGGUGAGUAGGCGAGAAUCAUCCUCAUUC